Molecule: ribosomal RNA, 699 nt
Filed under: Cutaneotrichosporon moniliiforme
Lineage: Eukaryota; Fungi; Basidiomycota; Tremellomycetes; Trichosporonales; Trichosporonaceae
Description: partial 26S ribosomal RNA
Source: RNAcentral
CUCGAACGUACCCGAAGGCCGGCCAAAAGGCGAGCUGCAGUCCUCAGUCUCACCCAGUGCAUGCAAUAAUAGUCUAUAACACUCCCGAGGGAGCUACAUUCCUACUAUCUUUAUCCACCGGACAAAACUGAUGUUGACCCGUUCAAAGGAAGUAGACUAGAAGAACUAGCUGAAUCCAAAGAACACGACUGACUUCAAUCGUUUCCCUUUCAACAAUUUCACGUACUGUUUAACUCUCUUUCCAAAGUGCUUUUCAUCUUUCCCUCACGGUACUUGUUCGCUAUCGGUCUCUCGCCAAUAUUUAGCUUUAGAUGGAAUUUACCACCCAUUUUGAGCUGCAUUCCCAAACAACUCGACUCGUAGAGCGUGUAUCACAGAGCACUGGUGGUCGUAUCAAGCACGGGAUUGUCACCCUCUUUGAUACCCUGUUCCAAGGGACUUAGAUACGGUCCAGCACGGAAAACACGUCUAUAGAUUACAACUCGGACUAUCGAAGACAGCCAGAUUACAAAUUUGAGCUUUUCCCGGUUCACUCGCCGUUACUAAGGGAAUCCUUGUUAGUUUCUUUUCCUCCGCUUAUUGAUAUGCUUAAGUUCAGCGGGUAGCCCUACCUGAUUUGAGACCAGAGUUCAAGAAUUGUCCGAAGACGAUUAGAAGCGUACUUCUCAAGCCGACACCAGCGAAACUUAUUACGCCAGA